UGGGGAAUAUUGCACAAUGGAGGGAACUCUGAUGCAGCAACGCCGCGUGCGGGAUGACGGCCUUCGGGUUGUAAACCGCUUUCAGCCAUGACGAAGCUUUUGUGACGGUAGUGGUAGAAGAAGCACCGGCUAACUACGUGCCAGCAGCCGCGGUGAUACGUAGGGUGCGAGCGUUGUCCGGAAUUAUUGGGCGUAAAGAGCUUGUAGGCGGUUUGUCGCGUCGAUAGUGUAAACACGCAGCUUAACUGUGUGCCUUCUGUCGAUACGGGCUGACUAGAGGAGGGUAGGGGAGAAUGGAAUUCCCGGUGGAGCGGUGGAAUGCGCAGAUAUCGGGAGGAACACCAGUGGCGAAGGCGGUUCUCUGGACCUUUCCUGACGCUGAGAAGCGAAAGCGUGGGUAGCAAACAGG
RNAcentral lists this ribosomal RNA (409 nucleotides) under Fusobacteriota bacterium. RNAcentral's name for it is "Fusobacteria bacterium partial 16S ribosomal RNA". It matches the Rfam family "Bacterial small subunit ribosomal RNA", at positions 355 to 776 of the family's 1533-position model. Lineage: Bacteria; Fusobacteriati; Fusobacteriota. The record is from RNAcentral.